CGGGCAUGCGGAGCACAUGGCCUAGGACGUGCAUGGGUGCGCAUAGCCCAAUCGAGCGCACAGCCCAAGACAUGUGUGGUCCAAGUGUGCACCCACGCAGUGCACAUGCGAUCCACCAUGCGCCUGUAGUAGGAGUCGCGGUCCGUGCAUCGCGCAUGGACUGCUGAAGUCCAGAGACAGUUUCUCAUGGCUUGCACAUGCGGAC
RNAcentral lists this long non-coding RNA (205 nucleotides) under Elaeis guineensis (African oil palm). Its description in RNAcentral is "long non-coding RNA (EGUI_LNC037995)". Lineage: Eukaryota; Viridiplantae; Streptophyta; Magnoliopsida; Arecales; Arecaceae. The record is from RNAcentral.